GUAUAUUUAACUUUAUAGGUACAGAAGCACCUUGAUUCAACAUUCUGAACAGGUUCAUAGGUUUGUGAAAAUGACAUAGACCUGAAAAAUACGAGGGAAAGCCGACUCUAGAUGAAAAAGCACAGCAGUCCCCCAACUCGAAAGUAAUUCGAAAAAAACACCCUCAGGUCUACAAUAUGUGCACAGUUGGAGAGAUAAAGAUGACAAGCGUGCACAUUCUCCCUUGGGGGGGAGCCAGCAACAGCCUGUUCAAGUUUAUUCAAUAAUGAUCCUUCCGCAGGUUCACCUACGGAAA
This 295-nucleotide unclassified non-coding RNA is filed under the name uncultured fungus. Its description in RNAcentral is "sequence contains ITS1". The record is from RNAcentral. Lineage: Eukaryota; Fungi.